RNAcentral lists this transfer RNA (72 nucleotides) under Anguilla anguilla (European eel). RNAcentral describes it as "tRNA-OTHER". Lineage: Eukaryota; Metazoa; Chordata; Actinopteri; Anguilliformes; Anguillidae. The record is from RNAcentral.
GCCUGGGUAGUGUAGAGGUAGAAGCACUUGCCUACCACUGCAGAGACCCGGGUUCAAUCCCCGGCAGCGGUA